Molecule: ribosomal RNA, 440 nt
Filed under: uncultured bacterium
Lineage: Bacteria
Description: partial 16S ribosomal RNA
Rfam family: Bacterial small subunit ribosomal RNA
Source: RNAcentral
CCUACGGGAGGCAGCAGUGGGGGAUAUUGCACAAUGGGGGAAACCCUGAUGCAGCAACGCCGCGUGAGUGAAGAAGUAUUUCGGUAUGUAAAGCUCUAUCAGCAGGGAAGAGAAUGACGGUACCUGACUAAGAAGCCCCGGCUAACUACGUGCCAGCAGCCGCGGUAAUACGUAGGGGGCGAGCGUUCUCCGGAUGUUCGGGGUGUAAAGGGAGCGUCGCCGGCUGGUCAAGUCUGAAGUGAAAGGCCGGGGGUUAACCCCGGAACGGCUUUGGAAACUGGGCAGCUAGAGUGCUGGAGGGGUAAGCGGAAUGCGUAGUGUAGCGGGGAGAUGCGUAGAGAUUAGGGGGAACACCAGUGGCGAAGGCGGCUUACUGGACAGUAACUGACGUUGAGGCUCGAAAGCGUGGGGAGCAAACAGGAUUAGAGACCCGUGUAGUC